RNAcentral lists this ribosomal RNA (304 nucleotides) under uncultured bacterium. Its description in RNAcentral is "partial 16S ribosomal RNA". It matches the Rfam family "Bacterial small subunit ribosomal RNA", at positions 506 to 809 of the family's 1533-position model. The record is from RNAcentral.
CAGCAGUCGCCACGGGAAUACGUAGGGUGCAAGCGUUAAUCGGAAUUACUGGGCGUAAAGCGUGCGCAGGCGGUUAUAUAAGACAGAUGUGAAAUCCCCGGGCUCAACCUGGGAACUGCAUUUGUGACUGUAUAGCUAGAGUACGGCAGAGGGGGAUGGAAUUCCGCGUGUAGCAGUGAAAUGCGUAGAUAUGCGGAGGAACACCGAUGGCGAAGGCAAUCCCCUGGGCCUGUACUGACGCUCAUGCACGAAAGCGUGGGGAGCAAACAGGAUUAGAUACCCCGGUAGUCCCUGUCUCUUAUAA